UCUCUUAUUCUUGUCUGAGACUCCCAAGACUCUCAUUCUCAGACUCACUUCCUCAACUUUCCAUUCUCUCGAUCUCUCCUCCCUCGAUCUCUCCUCCUUGAAUCUCCUUCAACCUUCCAACAUGCAAAAUCUCCUUGAAUCUCCUUUAUCGCCGCCACCAUCAUCAUCAGACCUCGAUCUAGGGUUUACACUGAGGCUUCGCCGUCGAUGAGCUAGGGUACCGGGAGGUGGGCCUGAGAAGAGCUUCGGGUCCAGAUCCUACUCCGACGUGUACAUAGCCCUCCGAAUCUCCGUCAACCUUACCGUGAGGUCCGCGGCUACCAGUCGGCGUUACGAGAAAUCGAAGCCCUCCGCCGCCAUUGAUGGGUUGAUGAAUCCAAAUGGGUUCUCGAAUUAUAUGCUUUUUUAUCAAAGGAUUCAAUGAGGAAUUGAGGAUUGUUGUUGGAACUUGGGCGUUGGAUGUGUGUCACUGUGAUUGUGCAGUUGCAAAUUGCAAUCUGUGCAGUUUGCAAACUGUGCAGUGCAGUUAA
This 530-nucleotide small RNA is filed under the name Malus domestica (apple). RNAcentral describes it as "sRNA MD10G0075000". The record is from RNAcentral. Lineage: Eukaryota; Viridiplantae; Streptophyta; Magnoliopsida; Rosales; Rosaceae.